CAGAAACCCCUGAUAAACCCAUCAGUUUUCAUGAGACUUAUUCACUAUCACGAGAAUAGCAUGGGAAAGACUAGCUCCCAUGAUUAUUACCUCCCCCUGGUUCUCUCCCAUAACGUGGGAAUUCUGGGAGAUACAAUUCAAGUUGAGAUUUGGGUGGGGACACAGCCAAACCAUAUCACUGACUUAUUUCACUUAAGACAAUAUUUCCAGUUUCAUCUUUGAUGCUGCAAAAGAUGUGAUUCUGUUCUUUUUUUAUGGCUGAAUAUACACUACAUUUUCUUUAUCCAACCAUCUGGUGAUGGAUACUUAAGUUGAUUCCUUAUCUUUGCUACAGUUCAGUGAUUUUUAAAGUAAACUUACAGAGUUGGGAAAUCAUCAUCAUAAUCCACUUGGAACAUUUUUAUCUCUGCAACAAGAUGUGUCCAUUUGUAGUCACAACUUGUUCCCACCACAACCCCCAGGCUGCCAGGAAUCUACUUUCUGUUUCUAUACAUUUUUUCUGGGCAUUUUAUAAAAAUGGAAUCAUGAAGUCUUUUGUGUCUGGCUUCUUUCACAGUAUAAUCUUUUUGAGAGUCAUCUGUAGUACUUGUGUUUCCUCUUAUUGUUGAAUAGCAGCCCAUUGUAUGGGCAUACUGUACUUUGUCUAUGCAUUCACCAGUUGGUGGACACUUGAAUUGUUUCCACAUUUUGGCAACUAUGAAUAAUGCUGCUAUGGACAUUCGUGUACAAGUGCUCGUGUAGACAUAUUAAUAUGUAAUCUUGUUCUAAAAGUCUAAAAUUCUAAGAAUUUAUCGAACUUGUGAAGAGAAUGACUAUUGAAACUAGCCUUGGUUCUUAUCCUUUGGAUGUGACUACAUUUUUGUCAGAAUGUCAUGAAGAAGCAUAAUUAUUUAUAUCCAAGAUAGAAUUUAACUUUCAAUUAAAAAAUGUUAAAGUUGAUUUUUAAUAAAAUACUUGGACAAAAGUAGAUCAGGGAUUAGGUUGAUUGCUUUUAAAUUUUAGUGUAAAAUUUCAAGAAAGGUUAGACUAGAUUCCAGUGGCUGCAAUGCUGCACAGCUAUAGGCCGCAUCCUCUCAUUGGAGUUGUGUGUGCAGGUGUGCCCUUCAUGUGGGAUGCAGUGGGAAUGGUGCCGUCCAGAGCUGUGUGUGAACAGGUGUCCAUACUGCUAGUCUUUGAGUCUGGGUAAUCUCCACUCUGUCCCUGGAGGGUGGGCCUGUUCUGCUUCUAGAGGUCAAUGCCAAGUCAGAAAGGGAGUCAAGGCCCAGAAUGCCACUCUGCAGACUACUAUAGUUCCAGACUCUAGGGAGUCCUGGGCAGGGGGCUUAUCUUAAACCAAAGGAAUUUCAGACUAGAAUUGUAGAUGGUGCCCUUGAAGAGCUGAUGGGACAGAUUGAAAGUCCUGACUCCCAGCUAAAGCAGUAUCCUACACACCCUCCCAUCUGGAGAGAUCUUGGGCUAGAUGCCCCCAGUCUAACUGAGACGCUGACUUUGGAGGGUUGUUCCAGCCUUGCAAUAGUAGUACCUUUUUGUUUAGGUGGGAGUGGAUUAGAACAGUGGGUAAAGUUUUGGGGUGAAAGAAGCCAACUGGGACAUAUGUCUUAGGGGGACACAGGCUUUGUCCAUCCUUUCUCUAAAAGUACUGGGCUGAACCCUCUCAGCAGAGAGUUGUGGAAAAUUAGAGACGUUCUGUGGAAAGACCAAGUUAAUGUUCAAGUCUCAGAAUCUGAUCUUAGGUCAAAUAUCUCUUGCUUUUGCCAGUAAAAAGAGCCCAGAUGUUUUUCUAUUUACUUAGGCAAACCCUUGAAACACAAGUUAGUCAUAUAAAACUUUACAUUUGCAAUGUUAAGAGCCCAUAUUUGGAAAGUCACAAGCAUAAAAUAUAUACUGUGAAAUGGGAGGUCAGGACGGUGAACUCAUUUCAGAACCAUAGUUUUGACUCAAGAAUUUUGAUGGGGUCUUCACGUUGGUUGAGCUUCUUGGUCCUAAUAUCAUUGAGAGAAUUAAAUCAUGAUAUUAAAACAUUGAAACACUAAUGCUUUGUUUUUAUUGGCAAGAACCAAAAUGAUCUAAUACUAAUGCCACGAAACAUCAGUCACUUUUUUCCUGAUGAAUAAGAUGAACUUUGGCUGCUUAUGAUAGUAAAUUUAAUAAUGUCAGUGAUUUGAACUGUUUCAGUUCUAAAUGUGCAGAAAUGUGUUUUACUGCAUCUCUCUCUCUCUCUCUCUCUCUCACACACACACACACACACACACACACACACUACUUCUGUCAGGAAGUUUUGUGGCAAAUGAGCCCAAAUGCAUAGAUUAGAGCAUAUCAUUCACAUGUGCCAUGUGUGUGCCAAAGUGUGCGUACCCACUGCUAGACUUCCUCUCACAGGUGGUCUGAAUUUGCUUCUAGCUGGUCCUGUAAGCAGAUUUAAUAUUUCAUAAGCACUGCUCCAUCUCAUGCCUCCAUUAUUGACACCACAUGGAAGUCAGGAAAUUGGUUCUUUCUGGGAACAGUUUGCAGAAAUAUGCAGCCUGUCAGCCCCUUUCUCAUGGGUGCAUUAACAGAGCAGCUCACGAUUACAAGUAACGAACCUUCUCCAGAUGUGUGUAGCAACUCAGCUCCAACUUUAUCUUCGGCCCUGAAGAUGGACUUGGCAAGAUGGAUUAUUUGUGGCUGUAUUGUAAUAACUUUGUGAAAUUGGAAUUCCCAGUGAUUGUAAUGGAGGGUGAGGAAGCGGCAGCAGAGGAACAGAUAAUUUCUCCUUGCAGUAAACAACGAAAAGACCAACAACAAUAAAAAGGGCAAAUCAGCUGUGGCAUUUUCCUGCUUUGGACACCGACUCUUCCAGACUGUUCUAAUUCUUUCCCUUUUAUGAUUCUGUUUAUGUUACACACAUUAAAGUUAAGUCAUGUCUUAAAUAAGAUGGAAACUGGAAGUGAGAUUUGGAAAUGACUGAAUCAGGCUUCUUAACUUUUUUCUUCUCUUGGAGAGCUCAAAAACAACGGACAGAAAGGGAUAUACCAAAGAAAACAAUAUUAAUUGUCGGCUUCCAUGGAAAAUUCAAUCCAGUCUUUCAUUCAUUCUCUUCCCAGUGCAGUGCCAGCAGACUUCUCUCUAUAUGGCUAAGGGCUUAAUUUAGCUGACAAAUUUCUGAAGGAUAACUAAGCUUUCAGAAAGAAAGAUUCUAGCUAUAAAUGAAGCAUGUGUGCUCUCUCAGUCACAAAAGACAGAUUUUUCCAGGAUAAAGUAAUUUGGGGUAAAUUUCUCCUGUAUUUUAUUAGCAGUGAUGAUUUCAAGGGAGUAUUCUUUUAAAGCAAGGCAGUAUUUAAAUCUUUCUUUUAAAUCACAAGUCCCUUGAGUUGAUAGUUAUAAAACUGGGUUCCACUGGGAGUUAUUUGUACAUCUUCAAGGUUGGCACCCUUAGUUGUUUGAUGUAGAUGUUCUAGAUAAAAUUCCUAAAGUCCAGCUGUUAUGAUUUAGCUUAAUAUGUUUGUACAGAGGGGUUUCCUUUGUCAUUGAAGAGAUAGAGUCAAAACAGAAUUAGUCAUUCUUGCAUCUUCUAUUUAUAGCCCACUAUUAUUCUGAUGCAUUGUCAAAGAAUGAAGUGGACAAGAAUUUUUCUUCCUUUCUUUCUUUUUUUUGUGUAAACAAAACUCUUUUUAUACUCUGUGGAUUUAACUUUGGUUGCUAACUUAGUCAGACAAGGCACUUAACAAAAAUAUUACUUCUUAAAUGAAAAAUUACCUAUUAAGUCAUCCCAUCUUCAUUUGCAAAUUAAAGGUUUGUCAGUACAAAGUAUGUGGGAUGACCAGAAGUCAUGGAUGACUUACACUGAAGUGGCAAGGGUAGAAAAGGUCAGUUUGAAAAUUUAUUUGUAUGGGUUGCUCAUGACUAAUAGUCCAAAUCUGGAGAGUUUAUAAACAAAAUUCUAUUCUGUUUAUUUAGUUUAUGCCAGCAUUAAAGCUAGCCUGAAAAUUUAGUGAAAGUCAUUUAAGGAAUUUUUAUUUGGAGGAAACUUUAAUUUUUAUUUUUGAGGUCACUGAAUAAAUGUAGAGGUCUCUGUGGCCUGUACUGCAACAAGUAGAACAGUUAGAUAAACUGGUUGUUGAAACUCCCUGGGCCACUGAGUUUUCUUAUUUCUUUUUUUUUUUUUUUUAGUAGAGAGCUGACUUUAGAGGGAUCAAGAAUAGCUUGCUGGAUGGAAGGAGCUUGGGGCCAGUCAUCAUCUUAAAGGCUCUGUGGCAGCUUGGACUUGAAGUAGGGUGCACCCGGAAUUGACCAAUACAAACAGUGGACUGCACUGGAUUCUUCUUGUGCCCUGUCUCAUAUCCUCUUGUCCCACCUUUUCAUAACAGCCAUUGCCAUGGGAACCAGCUGCAUCCAGGCUAGAGCAAAAGGAGGUACAAAACCAAAUGCUAAGAAGCUGCUGCAUUUACUGAGAUAACCGUCUUCAGCUAAUGUGAAGCACCUACAACUUACAUAGAGUAAGUGGUAGAAAAAUGUGUGUUGCAAGGAAAAGAAAAAAAUAUAUGGCAUUACUCUGGCCCCGAUACAGACACCCAUUUUUAAAUAAAAAUCUCUUAUUUAUCUGGUAAACUGUUGAUGAAAUGGCAACACGAGUGAUAGAUCUCGAUUUUCUAUCUCAUCCAUUGAGGAUGUGUACUCUUUUGUUUUAUUCAUGCAGACAAUCUGCCAGUCAUCAUUCACAUUGCAUCUGCUCUAUAAUAUCCAAUAGGCAUUAAAAGGCAUCCUGCACAGUGAAACCUCGAACAAAAUAGUGUUACUAUAACCACCAUCUGGUCUGAUAUGAAGAGAGUGAUUAUUUACUUAUGCCCUACCAGUCUAGAAAUGCCUGGAUCUGGCAUGGCGGGGGAGGAAUCAGUGUAAUAUUUUAUACAGAUCACACUUAGUUACCGUGAGCAUGAAAACGUUUUGGUCAACAGUCUUGAAGGCCAAGACCAGCAUAGUAGUGGCAUAAUCCAUUGAGCACAAAAGGAACAUAUAAGAAUUUAUAUUUGUCCUUUGUAUCUUAUAAUCAUCAAUCACUUUAUAUGAAUAGACACUGGUGCCUACAUACUCUAUAUGUUAGAUGAUCAUAUGCCAUACAUGGAACAUGGGGUAGCAAUUUCAAAACUCAGAAAGGCUACAGGCAUAACUCUUAUUUGUGAGUUUGUCUUUGGUAUAUGAAGACAUAUCACUGUGCCCAGGUAGGUGAAUGCGUAGAUUAUAUUGUGUAUUUCACAAAAUGAACAAGAGAAUUAAAAAUAUUCUUAAAAUGAAAUCUCAAAUUGAAGUAGUCAUGAUAAUACAAACAUGUACAAACAGUUGGAGAACAGAAGAACUGAUGCUUCCCCAUUCUUCAGUUAUGAGAUGGAAACAAGGAAAUUUUAAAAAAAUUUUCUAGAAGUUGCGUAGAAUUAAGGACAGUACAUAUUGGAAAUUGCAAAUUCAUAGGCCCUCAAGACUGUUGACCAAAACAUUGUAAUGCUCAUUUUAAUUAGCUCAUUUUAAUGCUAAGUGUGAUCUGUAUAAAAUAUUACACCGAUUCCUUCUCCCUCACACCAGAUCCUUACAUCUUUCUGGGGACAGACAUUUCUAGACCGGCUUAGCACUAGUGAAGUUAAAGUUGAACUCUGUGCUAAGAAUAUAAAAUUACACAGUCUAUUAGCUAAUAAUGUUUGGAUGCAUCACCACCAGCAAGUCAUUUUAAAACUGAAAAAAAAAUUAGAAUACUGUCAAUAACCUAACUUUUAGUGAAGGAAAAUAUCUUUGUGCUAUUAAUUUUAGAAAAUUAUGUAAAAAUAUGGGCUACUUCACCUUUAUCUUACUUUUUCACAGUUCCAUUUUUGUGUCUGUUGUAUCAUGUACAUGUGAGGGCGUGUGCAAAAAUGUUUUACUGAGAUAGGUAGAUCAGUGAAGUUCAGAGACCACUAGUUUAAUUCCAGAUCAGGAAUGUAUGCAAAAAUAUUUCACAGAGGGCUCUAUAAUCAUCCCCUGCAACACUAUUGAACCCUUUUACCAAAACUAGGCCUCAAAUAUUUGAUUAAAGAAAGUGUUCUGAGACUAAGAAUAAAAUUUUACAACCAUCAUUUUAGGCAGGCUUAUACCUUCAUUUUAAAUUAUCACCUUUUGGUCCAAAUGCAUUUAAUUGUUCAUUGAGGAAGGAGAAGGAGCAAGGGAUAAAGGCUACUGUAUCUUGAUCUAUCAGAUUUUAAAAAAUUUUUUGAACCACUCUCAUAUGCUAGGUCUGGAUUGUCAAUUAUUGCUUCAGUGUUCUUUAGAGUAAUAAAAUAUAAGCUUCCCAGAGGUGUCACUGUUCUUCUCUUUGCUGCACCCAAUCUUUUCAGUACCACAAGGUAGAAGAUGUCUCACAAGGAUCAAACUAAUAAAGUGUAAGAGGCGAUUAAGAGAAUACAAUUUCAUAAAUAUCUAUAGGGCAAAGGGACCAUGAGCCAUAGGCUUUUUGAGCAUAUAAUAUGACUUUGUAUCUUUCAUGAGACUCUCUAAGUGCUUUAUUUAUUAGUCAGUAUUAUUAUCCUUAGGUGACAGAUGGAGACAUUCACACCUAGAAAGAUGUAAUACAUCCUCAAAGUCAUACAUUGCGUUGAGGGCGGAGCAGCAAGUGAAGGAGUUAGCGGACAUCCUAUAAAGCUAUAUUUAUACCAGGGGUGCUUUGAGAAGAACUGGGCAAAGCUUGUGAAUAAAAACAAGCUAUUACAAUCAGCCGCACUACCUAUUUCUCUCUUUCCAAACAAAGGCCUGAGAGAUGAGAGAGAAAAGAAAGGCAAAGCAAUGUUUACAAUAUGCAUGGGAAAAAAAUGAUAUUUGACAUUUGGUUUUAAAAACAUUUUUUAGGUUAUGUGAAUAAUUCCAUGAACCAAAGUAGAAAUUAUGUAGUUUAACAUCAGUUUACCCCACCCCCAUUUCAAUCUUACACAACCCCGCUGCCUCCACCAGACCUACCAGGUUUAGCACAGUGCUUUGUGUAUAUCCGUAGUUCACUUUCUCUUUAUAGUGCCUGGCAUAUCAUAAUCACUCAAAGAACUGUUGAAUGAAUAAAUGUAGAUAGAUAUUAAUAUUAAUAUCUCCAUCUUAGUGACACCAGCUCAGAACAAUCAGCUUGGACAGUCAUGCCAUUCAUUCAUAGCAGAGCUGGGAUUUUUAACUCUUUCUCCACCCUCUUGCUUUGCCUACCACUAAGAAGCUUAUCAAGGAAUCUCAACCCAUGCAGUACUCUUUUAGAAGAGAUCUAGAAAAUAGAAUGUUCUCUAUUUUGUACAUUUCCAGCAAUGUUCAAGUAUCUCAUGAUUUUUCUGCUAUUCCAUUUAACUCCACCUUAAAUCCUACAGCUCAUAAAACAUGGCUUAUGUCACUAGUUUAGCAAUAAAACACCUUUACUAUGACAUCUCUAGUGCUAUUAUUUUAUUUUACAUAUUUUGUAACCUCAACUCAAGUUUACAUUCUUUGAAGGCAGAAGCCCUGUGUUACUUACAUUUUUUAAAUUACUUUCAGCAUCUUGUGCUGUGUUGUUGACAUAGUGGUAGAUACUUAGCAUUUGUAGUAAACUGAUCAUAAUCAAAGAACAACAUUACUACUGUUAUUCUGUGAUUGGACAUCAAGAGAAAGCUUCCUUAACCCUCACACCCAGCAUCUUAUCACUAUAAAGACCACUGAAACAAUAGUUGAUGGUCCAGGCCCAGCCAUGAGAUUGGUACACGUUUUUUUUAAUCUGAUGUAUCAAAAUACAAUAACCUCUAUCCCUUGCUCCUUCUUCUUCUUCAAUAAGCAAUUACACACAUUUUAGGGAAAAGAAGAUAAUUCAAAAAUUCAAUACUUUUUGGUCCAGCUAACAGUGAGAAAUGUUAAGGCCUUAGGGCCACGUUAUACUGAAUGGAUAUUUUUUUUUAUAGCUCACAUACCUUUUUAUUUUUAUAUAUAACCAAAGAUAAUGCAUGUGACGGUUUUCCAUAUCUAUGGUAUGACUGGCAGUUUCCACUCUCCUCAAAGUGAAAGGAAAACACUGGUUAUACCAAGGGUAGGUCAUAUAGCCAAUGGGUUCCAAUGGCCCAAGUACAAAAUAUAAUGUACAAAAGUGUCCAGUGACUGCACUAAUCUAAUGAGGCUGGUGUGCCAUGUUUGUCAAGUGUGGAGCUCUCUUGCACAGGUACUGACAGCUGGUAAUGAGAUACAGAAACUUUUUCCACAUCAGUAGCCCAAUCCCUCCUGGCUUGGAGCUGUCCCAAGAUCUGUGCCCUCUGCUACCGUGUUUAUGACACACAGCACAGCAUGGGCUGCUGAACGUGCCCAUUUUUCAGUUCAAGGGGUGCUCAACCAUUUCUUCCACAUCUUUACUCAUGAGAAGUGAUUUUCCAAAUUCUUGGAUCCUGGAAAUGACCCAAACAUAGCUCACUAAACUAAUUUCUCUCAGAGUUUUUAAACGCAUGUGCAUUUGAGCAUAAACACUAUCCAUAUGUUUCUGAUUCAUUUACACUGAACUCAUCAAAGGACUGUGUUGUAAGAGUUGUUUGAUGUCCAAGAAUACUUGAGGGGUUUUUUUAAGAUGGAAUUUUAUACUUUCUUUCACCAUUUUCCUUAGGAAGCCGAAUGUUGUUGAGAGUAAACAAACAUGGACCCCCAAGGAUCUGGGGUUUAUUCUUAUAUUCAAAAUUCAGAAGGAGGUAACUCGGCAGGAAAGGCAUCCCUGGCCUCUGGUGUAACCUGGCACUAUUCCCCAAAGUGUAGGAAGUGCUUAGGGUGAACAGGGAUACUCCUUUCAGGAGACCUUCUUUUACUUGGAGAUUUAUUCAUUGGAUCCCAAAAGGCCAUUACAAAACCUAAAACAAAUACAACUCUUGGAAGCUAGCUGGGGUCUCUUGCUUCCCAGUUUGAGGAGAAAGCUUUAAAAUGUUUCUACUGCAAUUGUUCUUCAUUAUUGGAAGAGAACCAGAGAAGGCUUUUUAGGAAACCCAGUAUUUAUUCACCUGAAAGCAUCCGUGUCCUACAUUUAUAUGCUAAAGAGACAAGACAAGCAUCUGUGGCUACAGCUGAGAACUAAUUAAGGUUGCUCUUUAACAAACAUUAUGUGGUUCAUUCCAUUCUUCCUUGAUUAAGAACAAAAGAGAAGGAGAGUCAUUUAUUGUCAUGAGUCACUUGAGGUACAAUGGAAGGAAUUCCAAAACGCUGCUGAGACAAAACAAAACUGACAUUAUGAAAGCCAUGUCUAAACACUAAUUUAAACUGUCAACUCACUACCAAGGAAGACUCUUGACAGACAGAGAAUUAAAGCUUUAAAGACCUCAUAAAUCACUGAGGAGAUUAGCACCAGCGUGAAUGAGUUAAAAUACACUUCUGCCUUCAGAGCGUUACAGGGGUUCAAAGCAGUCCUAUAGGAUUUGAUGGGAAAAUUAGUUGUAAUAACUAGGAAGAGAAAAAUUCCCAAAUAUAGCUUCUUGGGGAUUUCACAGUGCAGGCUUCACCCACCACAGUUAUUUCAGGUACCUGACUUAGUGAAAUAUAAUAUAGAUGCUUUUGGGAUCCAACAUAUAGCACAAUAAAAAUGACUUUUGAGAAAUGUUGGAAUCCAAAAACAUUAUUUACAAAUACCAAACAUUUUUCAAACCCCAAACCACUAAAAAUAACUGAAAUUUAACCUAAAUGUAUGACUCAGCAGUGGAUUUAACACCAUUUUGUCCUUGUUUCCCAUUUAUGCCUCUCUCCAAAAAUCCUGUGGCAUAUAUAUGAUUUUGGGGCAAGAUUCAUCAUUUCUCCCACUGGAUGGAGUUUCCAAGCUCUGUCGCCAGCACCAAGAAGUCUUCAGAGCAAACUUUGUUGGCAUUUCCAUCGAUUUUAAUAUUUAAAUAUUACCCUCUUUAGGGUCUCUGAGUUAAAAAGAACCACUUACUCCAGUGAGAGAAUCCUCGAUCUUACCUAGUGCUGAAAAGAAAAGGCACAAGGAGAUUCUGCUCCUAAGUGGUCUGCACCCAGAGAGGCUGAGAUAGAUGCCUCUGAGAGAGAGAUCAUUAACAGCUGGACAACCCUUUAGAAAAUGAAGGAGCCAAAAAUGUAACUCUACAGAGUUAAAUCAUACUCUGGUAACUCUUCCCCCCACUCCCGAGGUCUGACUAAUCAUUUCUUUACAGGUUCUUUCUCGAAGACUCCACAAAAUAAAUUUUUUUCCCCUAAGUCCUUGGUGCACUCUAGAUGAUCUCUUUGACUUGGAUCUUAUCACAUCUGUGCCUGUCCAGAAAUGAUUUUCUGAAGCAUAUGUUCAUGUGGUCUCUUCCUUCCCCAAAUUGGAAAGUUUUGCAUGCAGUAAUUUUAUUCCAUUCUUUGAUUUUUUUUUUCCUUUUGGCUUAAGUCAAAGUGAUACAGAAAUCCACAUGGAGAAGAGUGGAAUAUAAUUGCUACAGCCUUCAGACUGAAUCCUCUCUUAGCCAGGAUACGGCGGCUGUGUCCUCUUUUCCUCUCCGGCUCUUCUCUUCUCUCCCUAUGCUCCCCCUAUUAGUGACAGUUGUCAGAAACAGUCAGAAAUAGGUUUAAGUGGCUAAGAGAGAGCACCAAGAGAACAUUUAAGGAAGUAUCUUGAGGUGAACCAGUUGAUUCAACCAUAUAUAUCCAGCUGUAGGACACUCAGUCCCAAGUUCCAAGACAUAAAACUUAGACCCAUCUUGGACACAGGUCUCAGGACUCCUUUAAGGAUGUGAAUUGCUCCAGAAGCUUUUUGUCUAGGGUCAUAUCUCUGUCAGUCUUCUGCCCAAUGGGAAUCUUAGUUUAACGUUUUAGUGGUGCUACAGAGGUUGAGUUACAGUCACGUGACUCUAAAUUCAGUUCUGUAAUGCCAAAACUAUCGCACUUUAUUCUUUUUUGGAAGAGAGGCAGGAAGUGUGCAAUGUAAUCGUGAUCCCUCCUCGGGCUCCCCUUCCAUGAUCCCAAAUAGAACUCAGGUUGGAAACUGCAAAAGUGGUCUCAAGAAAACUGUUGUAAAGGGCAUCCUGGUUCUUUGAAUGUAAACUUGAUCACAUGCCCAUAAAUUUCUACAGAGUCCCAGAUUCAUCCCCAAGCUACUCUGGUGGAUUAUAAGAUGAAAAGAGAGACACUCAACUCCAUCCCUCACCAGGAAGAAGACUACCACUCUUUCUCAUGCCUUCUGAACCUACUCUGAUCAGCAAGAGAUGAUUGCCCCAAAACUCCCACAUGAGAAUCAUGAGAGGGGCCUUGUCUGAAAAGUGGAAGAAAAACUCAAUAAUGAACUUUACCUGAGCAUGGUACCGUCAGAAAGGAAACCAAAUUAUUAAGCUCUGCCUCUGGAUACUAUACCAUUGUCUGCUUUUCACUGACCACUGGCUCUUGAGACUGAAGCUGCAUGAAAACUCCACUAGUCCAAUUCAAAUAACUUGUCAUUAUUUCCAGGUUCUUAAUUCAUCAUAAACCCAUAGAUCUUUUCAAGCUCUUAUGGUUCCUUUUAAACUUUAGUUUAUAGAAGAGUAUACCAGGUAUUAGGCAGAAACUCUGGCAUCAGAAAAGGGCUGGCUUGCCAGCACUUGAAGUGCAGAUGAGUGAUUUGAUUUGGUUACACUAUUUAAAGUUCUGAGUGCAGGGAACACCUUGCAUAGCCAGAAACCAUGUUUUCUGUUUAUAGGUCAAAUGACUAGCCUUGUAGAGAAUCAUAAAGAUCAUAUUUGGAUUUGGCCAUCUCUUGCUAACAUUCCUCCUGUGUUUGUAAACACUGCUGACUUUGACCCCAGUCUCUCACAAAUCCAUGACUGACACCAAACAGCCACAGAGGAGCUGCAGAACAUAAUGUGAUUCUGUAAUGCAAAACAGGAUGACUUGCUAAGUGUGCAGAUCUGGAGAGAAUUCCUGACAUAAUCCUUCUUACGUCUUUCAUGAUAAUUAUUUCCAUCUUCAGAAUACAUGGAAACAGUGGUCCCUUGGACAUUGUUUCUAGAGGCUGGACUGAAAUCCCUUCUGCUGGGCUAACUGUAUGUGAUAAGGCACUGGGGCCAUGAGUAUGCCAGCAGAAUGCACUAGGACCUGCAAAGGUGAGAAUGAGCUAAGAAAACCUAGCGACUAGCUGUGGAGAUGCUGCAGCAGAAGGAAAUGUAUAAAAUAGCAACUACUCUUCCAAAUACUGGAAAUCAGCUCUAGUCAUAGCUUACUCAUCCACGUACACAUUUAAAACACUGAUUGAGAGCCUACUAUGUGCCAUAAGCAUUUACGAGGGACUAUGAUUUGAAAUGCAUUAGUAAUCUCACAUUUUUAAUAGUCAUGCUAAAACAAAUUCAGCUCACCUCUCAGAGCAUAGACAUAGAGUCUUCAUAGUGGACUGGAAGUGUUUAUUUAAAACAUAGUUACUAUUUUUAAACAGGUAAAAACAUAGAACAUUGGGAAAGGCUGAAAAUGGGAGGGGCCUAACCCAAUUAGUAAACAAAGGAAAAAGAAUUGAAUCCUGGUUCCUACCUAAUCAGCGCUUCGUAGAAAUGCAGUCUAGAACCAGCUCUCCCUAAUUUCAGUUGUCAGGGCAGCCUUCACAUAACGCUUCUUCCUAGGGAGUCAGCUCUGUAAAGCAGAUGUGUAAAGAUCCUUGUUUCUUUUAAUUAAAAACCCCAGCCUACUGAAGUUUUGGGGAAACCAAGAAAGUGGGCAUAAGGCUAAGGUCCUAAGUUAUAUUCCUUGCGUUCCAUAUCUAAUGGACUUCCAGGAGAAUGUCACCAUGGUCAUUUAUACAGUCCUGCAGAAUACCAUGAGAAAGCAAAAGAGCAUGAUCGGAUCCGGGGCAAGGAUGGAAUCAUGGACACAUUUUACUCAUAUCAUUGUCACCAUUUGUACCUCAGAGAUGAGAAUUUCAUAUCUCAAAGACCUUAUAAUCAGUCCAAUAAAUAACUAUUUCUUGACUUUGUUGCUGAGUCAUAUAAUAUAAUCCAAAACAAUAGAGAGGAGUAAAAAGUGGAGGCUUGAACCCAGGGAAGAAUAAAAUAAUAGCAUGACAAUAAACACCCAUAUCUGUAGAACACUACUGUGUGCCGUUUUUUAAAAUUAAACAUCAUUUCAUUUUUUUUCUUACAACAAUCCUAUGAGCUAGACAUUAUUAAUCCUUCUGGCAUCUAGGACAAAGGAGUGAUGGAGAACAAGAUUUGCCUAAAAUUCCACUGAUCCCACACUUCUAAGACCGGUACUCCUUCCCUCACAAGGCACUGUUGAAGUUGUGUUUGGAGACUUUGCACAGUAAAAUACAUAUACAGUUCAGGGAAAUAUGCAAUGUGGAAAUGAUAUUUUUACCUUUGCAUAGCCAUAAUAGUACCAAAUCCUCAUUUAUACAGGGAUCUUAUAACAUGCAAUGCAACAUCUGAAAACUAAUAUUUUGCCACUUCCC
RNAcentral lists this long non-coding RNA (13363 nucleotides) under Homo sapiens (human). RNAcentral's name for it is "HSALNT0377056". Lineage: Eukaryota; Metazoa; Chordata; Mammalia; Primates; Hominidae. The record is from RNAcentral.